UACGAAGGGGGCUAGCGUUGUUCGGAUUUACUGGGCGUAAAGAGCUCGUAGGCGGUUUGUCGCGUCUGCUGUGAAAACCCGAGGCUCAACCUCGGGCCUGCAGUGGGUACGGGCAGACUAGAGUGCGGUAGGGGAGAUUGGAAUUCCUGGUGUAGCGGUGGAAUGCGCAGAUAUCAGGAGGAACACCGAUGGCGAAGGCAGAUCUCUGGGCCGUAACUGACGCUGAGGAGCGAAAGCGUGGGGAGCGAACAGG
This 253-nucleotide ribosomal RNA is filed under the name uncultured bacterium. Its description in RNAcentral is "partial 16S ribosomal RNA". It matches the Rfam family "Bacterial small subunit ribosomal RNA", at positions 524 to 776 of the family's 1533-position model. The record is from RNAcentral.